Molecule: long non-coding RNA, 2517 nt
Organism: Triticum aestivum (bread wheat)
Lineage: Eukaryota; Viridiplantae; Streptophyta; Magnoliopsida; Poales; Poaceae
Exons: 2
Source: RefSeq, a predicted model, not a curated record
CAUCUCCCCGCAUCCCACCUCCAGCCGCCGUCACCGGCCCAAUCAUCGCACGAAAGUCGCGCCGCACCCUGCCCUUAUCCUCGCUCGGGGAUGCCGCCGACGCAGGACGGCAGGAGCUUCCAAUCCGUCCCCGAGAUCGGCGAGGAGAUUGGUCGGACCGCUUCGGCGGCAUCCGCUGCUGCGCGUCCCGCUCCACCGGCGACCACUGCGCCGUCAAGUCGAAUGACCGAUCGCGCCUCGCCGACCUGGACUACGGCCUGGCCGGGCUCGAGCCCAAGCUGGCCUCCGCGGGAAACCCAGCGUCUUCCAGGUGCACGCGGUUACGAGGACGAGGCAUGGACGCACAUGGUGAUGGUCCGCCUUCGCCACGGCGCGCCCAUCCCGGAGCUGGAUGCCGCCGUUGUGGUCACGCUGCUCGCCGAGGCCCUCGAGAUCUUGCACCGCCGCAUCGCGCACCGUGACGUCAAACCGAACAAUGUGCUCCUCGACGCCUAGGACGCCGGCGAUGGGCCCGUGCGCGCCCACUCAGUAAAUUGUGGAGCGCCGGCGUGGGCCUAGGUUGAACAUGUCAUGGGAUUGGAUCGAGCGACCGCAUGAGUUGCCGCCGCUGCUGCCUGGGGUCGCUCACCGCUGCGUGAAAUCCAAUCACCGCAACUUCGCAAGCCUGGAGCCGAAUCGCCGUCGCUGUCGUCAGAAAGGAAAUGACAUACCAACAUGGGAUAUAGCAUCUCUGAGACCGUACCACAAGGACUUGAAAAGAGCCAUGGAUCCUACAAAUAGGGCAGUGUUUUUAUCUCAUCUCACCCAAUCAAUUAUUCCAUGUUUUAUUGUAUGCCAUUUUGUUAAUUAUUUUUAUAUAUCUUCAGUAUCGAUGUAUUGAUGCUUUUAGAAAUUGCCGUAUCCCGUGUCUCUGUAUCCAUAUCGCCGUGCCUCCAUCCCUGUAUCGGCGCAUCACAUUUAGCUCAGUUGGCUCUCUAAUUGCUUGGAUUGGUUGUAGAUUGAAGACUAGCCUAUUGGUUUAGAUAAAUGAUAGGUUUCUGGCGUGUCGGAAAGGAGUAUGGAGUUGAAUUUUAAUUUUUAUUACCGCGGAUCACAACGGCAAGAGGUAUGGUAUUACUUGACUACACAUUUAACUUUCUUUCUUUUUUGAAACGGAUACUACACAUUUAUCUUAUGAUUAUCUUGAACAACAUCUUUCAAAAUAUGCUGGACAAUCAUGCUUGAUGCUAAGAGAUAUGGUGUUACUUGACUACGCAUUUAUCUUCUGGUUAUCUUGAACAGAAUGUUUCAAAAUAGAUUGACAUAGUAGCGCACUAUCUCGCCCUUCCCACUAAUUCUAUGGGCAUAGGCUAUAUCUAUUUUGCCCGUCAACAUGUUGCGGCUAUUUCAAGGCAAGGUGUUCUAUGCUUCAUUUACAAAAUGACAAUUCAUGAUUCUCCGGAUUAAACAUCUUCUAUUUACUAAGUUUGUGCUUACCAGGGCAGCAUAUUAUAUGUGCCACAUAAAGUAUUUUUUUUUGUUUUAACCAUGGUGAAGUCAUUUCUAGAUCUUUUCACCCAGGUGGUGGAAUAACUAUAAAAAACAAACUAAGGUUCUUAUUCGUAGAAAUGAUAUUAUUGGAAUGAGGGUGUAUACUAGCAAAACUCAAAUUGGCUCCUUAGUACUUGGGCAUUGAAUACACAAUUGUUCAUGUAGAACAUCUUGAAUCCAAAUCUUUUUUAGGGAAAGUGGUUGGCCAAUUUAACCAUCAUACAACCAUUAUUCAGGUAUGUCUAUAUGAAUUCUUUUCAUUAGGCUUGGAACUUUAGACCUAAAAAUUGAGCUUGGCCAAAGUUACUUUAAUAGAAUGGAGAAAAUAUGUGAUUUAAAUUAUUAAAUAUAGUGGAAAAACAAUUCUCUUGUUUUCGAGGAGUUAACAACCUUUUUUUGCUGGUUGGUCUCAACAUGGCUGAAUCUCUAGCAUUUUAUUUCAACCGAGAUCUAUAAUUUGUAAACUAUGGUACCAUGUCGUAUUAUAUAUGAAUGUAUUUUUGCCUGUUUUUAUCGUUAUAAUUUACUUACACUAGCAGUAAAUACUAAAAGUAUAUGGCCAUAUGAGUCAUGCUUGCCAAGCGUCUUCUGUUUUUGUGAACAACUAUGAAAGUAUUGGUCUUCACUGUUGUGUGCACACCAGUUAGCACCAAUGAGCAGCUUAAUACCUUUUCCUUAACGAAUAAGGAUAAAUGGGAAGCGCAGAAUAAAAUCUUUGUGAAGAUUUUUUUUUGCGGAAGCUUGGUGAAGACAUUUCAACAGAGAUGCCAUAGUUUUGUAUAAGUGGAUUUAUUGCUUGGUUUCUAUAUGCCCUUUCUGGUUUAUUAUUAUUCAUUAGCGCCUUGUAAUAGAAGAUAUCUCACAAUCAAAUUUGAAGUGAAUCUACACAAGUCAUGAGAUGGUUGGCCAUUGUUGCCCAAGACGCUAUGUUCGAUUUUCUCCACCACAAUUUGUUCUUUGUUUGUGGUGGCAUGUCUUUUUGACCAA